This is a non-coding RNA of Malus domestica (apple), 580 nucleotides long. The record is from RefSeq and is a predicted model, not a curated record. Lineage: Eukaryota; Viridiplantae; Streptophyta; Magnoliopsida; Rosales; Rosaceae.
CUCUCAUUCAAAAAAUCAGAUCGCUCAUCUCUGCUUCUCCAAACCUAUGCUUUGACUACAACUUCUAGAUUUUUCCUUUUGUGUUCACUUCUCUCACUCAAAUCUCUGCUUCCGUCGCACUCUAUUUUCUUCUUUUUCUUCUCCUGUGAAAAUCUCAGCAUUAAAUUAGUUUUCAUGUGUCCUUAAAACGUUAAUCUUUCGCCUCUCUCUCUAAAAAUCCAUCUGAAAAAAUGUAUAUUGGGUAUUGUUUCUCUCUGCAGGUUACUUGGAGAAGUCUGUGAAGGGUCAAUAGGUCAAGGUGGAUUGCGUUUCAAAGUACAAAAAAUACAGGGCCUGCCUCUCUAUGCGUUUCCAGUCUUCCAAAAAUCGUGUUCGUGGAGGCGAUUUGAGACGGAUUUGAAGCUCGGCUUCAGAGAUUUGAUUCAAAUUGGUGGAUUUGGUUUGCAGGUGCUUCCAAGGGACCUGCUCUAUGCUCUCGCUUCGUGGUUGCCUCUGUUGGGUUUGGAAAAGCUACAGACAGCAUUGAAUUGGAAGAAUGAUGAAAGUGCUUACAUAUUGUUGCAUGAGUUGGAAUUUCAAU